GUGCCAGCUGCCACAGAGGCAGUGGAGCUCAGAGAGCCUUGUCACAGGCUCAGAGCUUGGAAGCCGCACUCAGAGCAGCGCAGGAGAGUGUAAAACAAGCCCGGGGAAGGGGUGCUGGAGCUCAAGGGCUGGGCGAGCUGUACCUCUGAGCUACACCCCAGCCUUCCUUCAUCAUCCUUGCAGCCUGCUGUCUUCAUUCAUAAAACGGUAACUACAUCUUGCCACUUCUCAAAGGAACACGUCGGACUAAGCGCCCUGGCCGAGUGCACUGGCCUAGGACCAUACAACAGUGGAGCCAGGGCAGGCCUGGUGCACACAGCCCAGCUGACUCCAAAGCUGUCCGACUUCUUAACCUCGGGCUGUCGUCUCUAAACCUGAAAACGGGGCUAAUACGACUUACUGAGAUAAUACACCGGCACCUAGUAGGUAGUAUACCAAUUCCUCUACCCUCCUAUAAUCAGUAAAGCCUGGGCAGCUCCGUUCUUCUCUGGUACUGGGGAAUCCAACACAGGGCCUCAGGCAUGCUAGCCACAUAAUCGGCCACUGGAUAUAUAUCCACCGGCCCCCUAGCUCCUUCCAACCGCACCACUCUCUUAAGGAUCAUUUCCCAGCCAGACCUGUUGAGGCGGGCCUACAGUCCCAGCUACUCUAGAGCUUGGGCAGGCGGUCACAAGUUCAAGGCCAACCUGGACAACUUAGUGAGCCCUUGUCUCAAAAUCACAAUGUAAAAAAGAAGCUAGGGGUAUAGCUCAGGGGUGGGGUACUUGCCCAGCAUGCUUGAAGAUUAGGGCAUGGGCCAGUGUUCAAUCACCAGUGGUGCAGGGAGAAAAUACUUUCCAGGCUCUCCAGGAGGUGGCAGCAGGGAGCCACCGGGGCUUGGAACUGGGCUAAUUAGGUAGGGCUGGCAUAUCCCCACUUGGGAGCAGGGCCCAGCUGUCCCCUCAGUAUGCCUCCCCAGGCAGAUUCUCAGUGAGCCAUUCCCCGCUGGUUUCACUGGCUAACGUCUCCAGAGCUUUGCCCCGGAGGCAGGCAGCACGGUAGCAUCUGCUUAGGGUGAGGAAGGUAGGCAGGUUUGCGCUCCUGGAAGCUCCAGGGAUGUUGAUCUUCAGUCUUUCCAUCUAGGUCAGGCUGUGCAGUGCGCAUCACGCCUCCGAUGGACAGUUACCCAGAGUCCUCUGUCUGGGUGUGGGCUGUGUCUUGAGCUCUUCCCGGCCUCCUCUCUGAAAGUGGCCUGUCCCACGGCUGCAUCUUUGGGGUGUGUACUUGUAAGACUGGUCUGAGAGGACCUGAUACCACUCUGCCUGGGACCCUGUGCCCCUCCCCUUUGGCCUUCAUCACACCGCAGAGAAAGCUUCAAGCCUUUAGGCUGUCGGCUCCAUGUGACAUAACCCCGCCCUCCUUGUCUCUUUUCUGACUGUCGUUCGCACCUGUGCCAGGUCCCUGCCUCAGUUUGCCUCCUCAUGGCCUCUGCUCAUCUAUUCACGACACUCCCAGCUCCUCGACUCCUCUCUCCCAUUUCUGGGCAGCUAUGAUCACCUCCUCUUGUUCCCAUCUCACAGAACUCACCGCUACCCACUCAGUGCCACUUCCGCACUUCUGUGCCAGGGCACCCACUCCUAAUAUACUUAACUAUCGGUUUCCUUAUAGACUGUUACUACUUGGGAGCAGAGGCUCGGAACCAUUUUUACACCUGUCACAGGCACACAGGUGCCACAGACGUUUGUAGAACGAACAGGUGAGGCCUACCACCCACAUCCAAAGAUCCUCUGCCCUGGGACUCUCCAGGAAAAACACCCUUCUGGGCCCUCUACCUGCCACUCGGGACAAGGUGAUCCGGACACCUUCAGUAGCGGCCUCCCUUCACAGGGCCCAGAGACACUAGUCUCUUUGUCACCUCUGAACAAAAUAGGUCCAGCCGUCCAGGCAUCUCUGGCCUAGCAAAUGUCCAUGGCUCCUUCUGUUCUACAGUGCGAAGAGGAAGCUUAAUUCUUGUUAGUUCUCUGGGAACACAGUGCCCCUUCAAGUCCACCUCAAAGCCCGCAAGACCUGUCCAUCCAUGUUAGUCUCAACGGAGCAGGCCCUCCACGACAUUGAGAAUAACCUCCGGUGCUCUGGGACCCUCACUCAUGCUGCUCUCUCUCCCUAGCAUGCUAUUCGCCCCACCAACCCCGCCCCGCCUUGCCGUGACCGGCCUCUGGAGCCUUAAGAUUCCCAGAGAGCCUUCCUCUGCUCAUCUUCAAGUCCAACACAGCCCUCUGUGUGCCUGCCAGGUCAACCCACCUCUCAGCCCUGGGCAGCAGGCACAGGUGCAGACUGCCAGGUGGGGGCGGGGAGGGCCGAGGGCUGCCUUCCCCUGACCCAGGGUCUCACGGGAGCCUCACCUCCAGUACUCCUCACUGGGGCUGGUCCUCUGCAGGGUGUGGUUGAGCAGCUGAGACAGGUUGCCAGACAGGGCAGCGGGCCGGGAGCCAUUGGUGAGGUUGGAAGCGUCCAGCACGCCGGCACAGUCAGGCGUGUUCCAGGGGUUGUUGCAGUACGCCCAGGGCAGCACGUGGGUCAUGGAGGAGAAGAAGUAGUAGAAGGCAAUGCAGAUGACCACGUUGUAGUAGAUGCCGAUGUAGGUCGACACCACCAUCAUGCCGUAGCCCACGCCUGCGGGGAGAGCACAGUCAGCGGACCCACCAAGGUUCACAGUCCCUCAAGGCCCAGUGUGGGCCAGUCUUAGAUGGAGAGCUACAGGAGGGAAGGUUCAGGCCUCGGAUGGAUGGACAAGCCGGCCUCUGUGUAAGUGUGUGUGCACACACACUUACAGACAUUCGAGAAUGAAUGAGCACAUACAUGUGCGUGUAUUCCCCACCAGAACCUCACCUUUGAACAUGGGGCUGAUCCUCCAGACC
Meriones unguiculatus (Mongolian gerbil) is the source of this 2897-nucleotide long non-coding RNA. RefSeq lists it as uncharacterized. The transcript has 3 exons. The record is from RefSeq and is a predicted model, not a curated record. NCBI's taxonomy places the organism in Eukaryota, Metazoa, Chordata, Mammalia, Rodentia, Muridae.